CUUAACUAUAAGCCAAACCAAGAUUAAUAUUA
Molecule: ribosomal RNA, 32 nt
Filed under: Gyrodactylus derjavinoides
Lineage: Eukaryota; Metazoa; Platyhelminthes; Monogenea; Gyrodactylidea; Gyrodactylidae
Description: partial 16S ribosomal RNA
Source: RNAcentral